Molecule: ribosomal RNA, 482 nt
Filed under: uncultured bacterium
Lineage: Bacteria
Description: partial 16S ribosomal RNA
Rfam family: Bacterial small subunit ribosomal RNA
Source: RNAcentral
AUUGAACGCUGGCGGCAUGCUUUACGCAUGCAAGUCGAACGGUAACAGGCCGCAAGGUGCUGACGAGUGGCGAACGGGUGAGUAAUGCAUCGGAACGUGCCCAGUCGUGGGGGAUAACUACUCGAAAGAGUAGCUAAUACCGCAUACGAUCUAUGGAUGAAAGCGGGGGACCGUAAGGCCUCGCGCGAUUGGAGCGGCCGAUGUCAGAUUAGGUAGUUGGUGGGGUGAAGGCUCACCAAGCCAACGAUCUGUAGCUGGUCUGAGAGGACGACCAGCCACACUGGGACUGAGACACGGCCCAGACUCCUACGGGAGGCAGCAGUGGGGAAUUUUGGACAAUGGGCGCAAGCCUGAUCCAGCAAUGCCGCGUGCAGGAAGAAGGCCUUCGGGUUGUAAACUGCUUUUGUACGGAACGAAACGGCUCUGGUUAAUACCCGGGGCUAAUGACGGUACCGUAAGAAUAAGCACCGGCUAACUACGUG